GAUGAAGAACGCAGCAAAAUGCGAUAAGUAAUGUGAAUUGUAGAAUUCAGUGAAUCAUCGAAUCUUUGAACGCACAUUGCGCCCGCCAGUAUUCUGGCGGGCAUGCCUGUUCGAGCGUCAUUUCAACCCUCAAGCUCAGCUUGGUGUUGGGACUCGCGGUAACCCGCGUUCCCCAAAUCGAUUGGCGGUCACGUCGAGCUUCCAUAGCGUAGUAAUCAUACACCUCGUUACUGGUAAUCGUCGCGGCCACGCCGUAAAACCCCAACUUCUGAAUGUUGACCUCGGAUCAGGUAGGAAUACCCGCUGAACUUAAGCAUAUCAAUAAGCGGAGGA
RNAcentral lists this unclassified non-coding RNA (333 nucleotides) under soil metagenome. Its description in RNAcentral is "partial contains 5.8S ribosomal RNA, internal transcribed spacer 2, and large subunit ribosomal RNA". The stretch from base 1 to 120 matches the Rfam family "5.8S ribosomal RNA", at positions 35 to 154 of the family's 154-position model. The record is from RNAcentral.